This 397-nucleotide ribosomal RNA is filed under the name uncultured bacterium. RNAcentral describes it as "bacterial SSU rRNA". It matches the Rfam family "Bacterial small subunit ribosomal RNA", at positions 29 to 414 of the family's 1533-position model. The record is from RNAcentral.
AACGAACGCUGGCGGCGUGCCUAACACAUGCAAGUCGAGCGCGAAUGGAGCAAUCCUAGUAGAGCGGCGCACGGGUGCGUAACACGUGGGUAAUCUGCCUCAAAGCCCGGGAUAACCUGCCGAAAGGCAAGCUAAUACCGGAUAAGCCUACGGACUCUUCGGGGUCUGAAGGAAAAGGUGGCCUCUGUAUACAAGCUAUCACUUUGAGAUGAGCCCGCGGCCCAUCAGCUCGUUGGCGGGGUAACGGCCCACCAAGGCAACGACGGGUAGCUGGUCUGAGAGGACGAUCAGCCACACUGGAACUGAGACACGGUCCAGACUCCUACGGAGGCAGCAGUGGGGAAUUUUGCGCAAUGGGCGGAAGCCUGACGCAGCGACGCCGCGUGGGGGAUGACGG